UACAGAGGGGGCAAGCGUUAUUCGGAAUUAUUGGGCGUAAAGGGCGCGUAGGCGGCAUGGCAAGUGGAUGGUGAAAUCCCUCGGCUUAACCGAGGAACUGCCGUCCAAACUGCUUCGCUUGAGACCGGGAGAGGUGAGUGGAAUUCCCAGUGUAGCGGUGAAAUGCGUAGAUAUUGGGAGGAACACCAGUGGCGAAGGCGGCUCACUGGACCGGUACUGACGCUGAAGCGCGAAAGCGUGGGGAGCAAACAGG
Molecule: ribosomal RNA, 253 nt
Filed under: uncultured bacterium
Lineage: Bacteria
Description: partial 16S ribosomal RNA
Rfam family: Bacterial small subunit ribosomal RNA
Source: RNAcentral